UGUUGAGUGUUGGGAUUAAAGGUGUACACCACCAUGCUCAGAUUAGAAAUUCGUGACUCACAAAGGUGUAAUGGCUUGUUUAGAGUUCCAUCAGUAGAUUAUAGACUUGCUUUGAGUCUUUUUUUGGGGGGGCAAGGAUCAAUUAAGGUUCACAGACACACAUGAGCAGACGCUAGAUGCUAGAUUGGGGUGACUACGUUUUCUGAUUUUAGAUUUCCCUGGCCAGGUACCUAACAGAGGAAUAAAGAGGGAGGAUGUUUCUGAGCACUGGAUAAUCCAGCAGCUUUUACCCUUCUUCCUCACUGAGCUCUUGUCACAAACAAGUCACUGACAAGGUGUGCUUGUUUGUCAGCAACUGGGUCUGUAAGCCACUAACAUCAUGAUUUACAGGUCAACUUAUCCUUCCCUGCCCCACCCAGAAAUCAUUCCAGUGUCCACCUUAAAUGGGCCUUGAAAUUCUUGCCAGCAGACGGCCUGUGGGAUGGGCUACUGUCAUCCAGGAGAUCAGGACUGGAAUCCCAACCUUCGUCAUCCCGAAUCGAGAUGCCUAAAGCAAGCAGAGCCCUCAACUAAGAACAUGUAUGCAGCGAAUUUUCCCAGCAGCUCAGACAGCAGGAGGCAAAGGGCAUCACAAAAGCAGGCUCACCUGCCAACUCACCUGGAGCUGUGCACCCAGUGCUCUGUCCCAAAGUCUGUCUCCUCCACAGGGCACAGCAGAUGCCAUGCACGGAGGAGGCACUGAGAACCACUGGUGCCAACUACAAUAUGGACAAUCACAUGAACAGCCUGGCCCACUGAGUAUAGAGAACAGGCCCUGGACGACAGCAUGACAAACGGCACAGUCCGCGGCCAGCAGGAGCCGGCAACCGUGCAGACAAGCUUUCAGCUUGGGAGUUCAUCACACAACUAGUCCACAUUCUCCAGAGGCCUGGGGUGGAAAAGCCCAAGUGUGGAUAUAUGUGGGACUGGGGGAAGCAAGAAGGAAUGAGAAACUUGACACAACCUGCUGGGCAUGUGUGAUCCC
Long non-coding RNA from Nannospalax galili (Upper Galilee mountains blind mole rat), 1024 nucleotides. RefSeq lists it as uncharacterized. Lineage: Eukaryota; Metazoa; Chordata; Mammalia; Rodentia; Spalacidae. The transcript is spliced from 3 exons. The record is from RefSeq and is a predicted model, not a curated record.